GACGAACGCUGGCGGCGUGCUUAACACAUGCAAGUCGAACGGUGAAGCGCCUUCCUUUUUGGUGGGUGUGGAUGAGUGGCGAACGGGCGAGUAACACGUGAGUAACCUGCCCCCUUCUUCUGGAUAACCGCAUGAAAGUGUGGCUAAUACGGGAUAUUCUGGGUCUGUCGCAUGAUGGGUCUGGGAAAGAUAUUGUUUCGGUGGGGGAUGGGCUCGCGGCCUAUCAGCUUGUUGGUGGGGUGAUGGCCUACCAAGGCGGUGACGGGUAGCCGGCCUGAGAGGGUGGACGGUCACACUGGGACUGAGACACGGCCCAGACUCCUACGGGAGGCAGCAGUGAGGAAUAGUGCACAAUGGGCGCAAGCCUGAUGCAGCGACGCCGCGUGAGGGAUGGAGGCCUUCGGGUUGUGAACCUCUUUCGCCAGUGAAGCAGGCCUGCCUCGUUUGUGGGUGGGUUGACGGUAGCUGGAGAAGAAGCGCCGGCUAACUACGUG
This 494-nucleotide ribosomal RNA is filed under the name uncultured bacterium. Its description in RNAcentral is "partial 16S ribosomal RNA". It matches the Rfam family "Bacterial small subunit ribosomal RNA", at positions 28 to 507 of the family's 1533-position model. The record is from RNAcentral.